This is a long non-coding RNA of Equus caballus (horse), 1633 nucleotides long. Lineage: Eukaryota; Metazoa; Chordata; Mammalia; Perissodactyla; Equidae. The record is from Ensembl.
GGGGAAGCACCAGGGUUGAUCAGGAGGCAGAAAGAGUGAGUGUGAAACAGUGAUGAGAGCCUUUUUUACUAUAGCAGUGGGAUGCUCUUAGAUGAAGAUGGUCCCUAUUGGGCAGGAAGUGAAAUACAGAUGUUUGGGUUUGUGGUUGGAGGUUUUAUGAUGUGAUUUUCAAAUGCCCAUGAAAACACAAUGAUGGUGUGGAUAGAGGCAAUCAACUUGGCCUUUCGCUUUGCCUAUGAUUUCAAGAUGCCAAAUCAUCAAUUACAGAAUAUCAUGAAUGAUUAUUACACUCUCUCUCACCAACUCCAUAAUACACAAACUUCUAAUUUGUGCUUUAAAAAAAUUAUGUGAAAUAAUUAUUAAAACCACUUGAUAUACAACUGAUACACACAUCAACACACACACAACUUUGAAGAUCCCUUGUGAAUUUUCAGAACUGUGAUGCACCAUCAUUAGUUCCUAAAAAGAGAUGAUAGUAAAAAAGAAACAAAAAUAUAUAUUCGCUGUAUUUUUAUCAUGUAGAUAGCCACUUUGUAGUCAUUUAUUGAAAACUAAAUAUUUUAUCAAGUAUUUCAGCAACAAUACAUGGUCAGACACAAGUCAAAUAUAGGAAAGUUUUUCCUAAAAGUUUCCAAAUCUAUAUAGUUUUAGCUAAAGCAUAUGCUAAAUGAGAUAAUAGGAAGAUCAUAGUCAACUGGGAAAAUGAUGUUCUAGAGUAAAGCUUGCCUUUGUUGGGCUGACCAGAGUUUAAAUUGUAAUGUUCAAGGGGAAUGGAAAACCUAGUUUUAACUUAGUCUAUCUCUGGCCUCUAAAAUAAUCAGGUUUAAUGAAGAUAAGCUGGAGGGGCUUGGGAAAGGACUUUGCAGGGAUCAUGCUCUAUAUGUGAGUGGUGUUACUGUUACAAGUGCCCUGUUGAUGCAGGAAACUAAGAAACUCACAAAGGAAAAGAAUAGGAUGUGGCCUCCAUGGAGACAGAUGGCAAAUGCUGUGCAGGAAAUCAGAACCUUGACUCCAGAAGUUCAAGAGCAGGCUUCAUUUCCUCCAAAAGGACUGUAACUCAGUUAUACUACAUAUGAAACUUGGGCAGCAAAGCCAACUCAAUGAAAUCUACUUUUAUAAAUUUGGUUACUGAUACAUUGCCAGGCUAAAGGAACUAGGCAAAGCUGAGCCCAUAUAUAGAAAGUUGUAAGGACAUACAACUUGGUGGAAAUGAAGAAGUGAGGGACAGACACAAAGCUAACUAUCUAAACCGUAUGAUAGAGUUUGGGGACAGAAAACUGUAGAAAAUGAAUGAGCUUUUACAGUGUGUCAAGGGAUACAUAGAUAUCAGGCCAUUUGUGAUGUCAUCAUUAUAAUUAUUCCCAAUUAUUUGCUACCUCAUUCCCUGAAGGAUUAUAUAUCAGUUGCUUGCCAUGGAUCAUCAGGGCCUUCCUGCAGGAGGAGUGGGGAGAGUAUACUUGCUCAAGCUGUUGACUUGGCCAUGUGAUUUCUCUUGGUGGAAUGAUACAACAGUAUGUCAAUCCCAAAUAGAAGCUUUGAGAGCCAGUGAAGAUUUCAUCCAACUCUGUUGUUUCAUCUUUUGGUUUUUAAACUGCCACAAGACAGCAUAUCAGAAUACGCAGUAAUUCCUUUU